ACCUUAUAUUUGUAAACUUAGAGACUACCGUAGUUAAGCAGUAUACUAAAUUGCUUAAAUCAAUACAUAAAACCAGAAGAAGACGGUGGAUGAUGGUGGGCAGAGUGAGGCGAGGCAACUUUCCUCCGCCAAAGUUGGAGCCGAGGCGAAAGCGUGACCUCACAAAAGCCGCCUAGGGAAUAAGGCUGCGGCGGCGGCAGGCCCCUUUGGCGGGCCGGGACGGGCCCCGUCCAGGCGCCGCGCGGCGGGCGAUGGGCUGUGUGGAAUCCAAUGAAGUGCUUUCCUGCGAAGCGAUAGACACAAACUCAGUAGCAGCACCACCCGCGCCCCAAACGACUGCUCCAGCCUCGGAAAAAGUGAAAAAAAAGAGAAGACAUAGCUUAAGGGAAAGGUGGGCAACUGGGAAGAAGACAUCUACCGAAGAUCUGGGCCAUCGGACUGAAAGCACAAAGAUCCACGUGAUCUGGAGACGUGUUUCUCUCUUCAGCACAAAGCGAGAUUCCUUGAAGAGCAUGAGCGCAGAAGUGGCUGGGCCCAGUCAUCUGAACAGCGAUCAAGAACCUCAACCCGAUACCUCUGAGUAAUUUUGGGGAAACUCACUGAGGAGAGAGAGAAUGUGGACAGAGAAUACAGAGCAGGCUAUGGCAGCAUUGCUGCAAAAUACAGGCAGUCUUACAGCUAAGGGGAAUAAACUUUAACUAUCA
Molecule: long non-coding RNA, 704 nt
Organism: Podarcis raffonei (Aeolian wall lizard)
Lineage: Eukaryota; Metazoa; Chordata; Lepidosauria; Squamata; Lacertidae
Exons: 3
Source: RefSeq, a predicted model, not a curated record